Long non-coding RNA from Homo sapiens (human), 228 nucleotides. RefSeq lists it as uncharacterized. The transcript has 2 exons. NCBI's taxonomy places the organism in Eukaryota, Metazoa, Chordata, Mammalia, Primates, Hominidae. The record is from RefSeq and is a predicted model, not a curated record.
UUUUAACAUUCAAAUGUCCCUUUGAACCUUGGAAGGCUACUAUCUCAGAGAGAAAAAGCAGAAAAUCAAAUAACUAAAGUGAGGGCACAUCAGAACUGCUGGGACAGCAUGGCCUUGCUAAGGAAGCAUGAAAAGCCCUCACCAGAAGCUGAGCAGAUGCAGGUGCCAUGCUUCUUCAACUUCCCAGGCUACAGACCAUGAACUGAAUAAACCCCUUUUCUUUAUGAA